AAGGUCUUAGCUUAAAUAAAGUGUCUGAGUUGCAUUCAGGUGAUGUGGGUGUAGACUCGCAGGCCUUA
RNAcentral lists this transfer RNA (68 nucleotides) under Diploderma vela. RNAcentral's name for it is "tRNA-Ala". It matches the Rfam family "tRNA". From Rfam's summary of the family: Transfer RNA (tRNA) molecules are approximately 80 nucleotides in length. Their secondary structure includes four short double-helical elements and three loops (D, anti-codon, and T loops). The record is from RNAcentral. Lineage: Eukaryota; Metazoa; Chordata; Lepidosauria; Squamata; Agamidae.